This 2216-nucleotide ribosomal RNA is filed under the name Salmonella enterica subsp. enterica serovar Schwarzengrund. RNAcentral's name for it is "bacterial LSU rRNA". It matches the Rfam family "Bacterial large subunit ribosomal RNA", at positions 690 to 2881 of the family's 2925-position model. The record is from RNAcentral. Lineage: Bacteria; Pseudomonadati; Pseudomonadota; Gammaproteobacteria; Enterobacterales; Enterobacteriaceae.
GGGCGUUAAGUUGCAGGGUAUAGACCCGAAACCCGGUGAUCUAGCCAUGGGCAGGUUGAAGGUUGGGUAACACUAACUGGAGGACCGAACCGACUAAUGUUGAAAAAUUAGCGGAUGACCUGUGGCUGGGGGUGAAAGGCCAAUCAAACCGGGAGAUAGCUGGUUCUCCCCGAAAGCUAUUUAGGUAGCGCCUCGUGAAUUCAUCUCCGGGGGUAGAGCACUGUUUCGGCUAGGGGGCCAUCCCGGCUUACCAACCCGAUGCAAACUGCGAAUACCGGAGAAUGUUAUCACGGGAGACACACGGCGGGUGCUAACGUCCGUCGUGAAGAGGGAAACAACCCAGACCGCCAGCUAAGGUCCCAAAGUCAUGGUUAAGUGGGAAACGAUGUGGGAAGGCCCAGACAGCCAGGAUGUUGGCUUAGAAGCAGCCAUCAUUUAAAGAAAGCGUAAUAGCUCACUGGUCGAGUCGGCCUGCGCGGAAGAUGUAACGGGGCUAAACCAUGCACCGAAGCUGCGGCAGCGACGCUGAUGCGUUGUUGGGUAGGGGAGCGUUCUGUAAGCCUGCGAAGGUGGCCUGUGAGGGUUGCUGGAGGUAUCAGAAGUGCGAAUGCUGACAUAAGUAACGAUAAAGCGGGUGAAAAGCCCGCUCGCCGGAAGACCAAGGGUUCCUGUCCAACGUUAAUCGGGGCAGGGUGAGUCGACCCCUAAGGCGAGGCCGAAAGGCGUAGUCGAUGGGAAACGGGUUAAUAUUCCCGUACUUGGUGUUACUGCGAAGGGGGGACGGAGAAGGCUAUGUUGGCCGGGCGACGGUUGUCCCGGUUUAAGCGUGUAGGUGUGUGUUCCAGGUAAAUCCGGUUCACUUUAACACUGAGGCGUGAUGACGAGGCACUACGGUGCUGAAGCAACAAAUGCCCUGCUUCCAGGAAAAGCCUCUAAGCAUCAGGUAACAUCAAAUCGUACCCCAAACCGACACAGGUGGUCAGGUAGAGAAUACCAAGGCGCUUGAGAGAACUCGGGUGAAGGAACUAGGCAAAAUGGUGCCGUAACUUCGGGAGAAGGCACGCUGACACGUAGGUGAAGUGAUUUACUCAUGGAGCUGAAGUCAGUCGAAGAUACCAGCUGGCUGCAACUGUUUAUUAAAAACACAGCACUGUGCAAACACGAAAGUGGACGUAUACGGUGUGACGCCUGCCCGGUGCCGGAAGGUUAAUUGAUGGGGUCAGCGCAAGCGAAGCUCCUGAUCGAAGCCCCGGUAAACGGCGGCCGUAACUAUAACGGUCCUAAGGUAGCGAAAUUCCUUGUCGGGUAAGUUCCGACCUGCACGAAUGGCGUAAUGAUGGCCAGGCUGUCUCCACCCGAGACUCAGUGAAAUUGAACUCGCUGUGAAGAUGCAGUGUACCCGCGGCAAGACGGAAAGACCCCGUGAACCUUUACUAUAGCUUGACACUGAACAUUGAGCCUUGAUGUGUAGGAUAGGUGGGAGGCUUUGAAGUGUGGACGCCAGUCUGCAUGGAGCCGGCCUUGAAAUACCACCCUUUAAUGUUUGAUGUUCUAACGUGGACCCGUGAUCCGGGUUGCGGACAGUGUCUGGUGGGUAGUUUGACUGGGGCGGUCUCCUCCUAAAGAGUAACGGAGGAGCACGAAGGUUGGCUAAUCCUGGUCGGACAUCAGGAGGUUAGUGCAAUGGCAUAAGCCAGCUUGACUGCGAGCGUGACGGCGCGAGCAGGUGCGAAAGCAGGUCAUAGUGAUCCGGUGGUUCUGAAUGGAAGGGCCAUCGCUCAACGGAUAAAAGGUACUCCGGGGAUAACAGGCUGAUACCGCCCAAGAGUUCAUAUCGACGGCGGUGUUUGGCACCUCGAUGUCGGCUCAUCACAUCCUGGGGCUGAAGUAGGUCCCAAGGGUAUGGCUGUUCGCCAUUUAAAGUGGUACGCGAGCUGGGUUUAGAACGUCGUGAGACAGUUCGGUCCCUAUCUGCCGUGGGCGCUGGAGAACUGAGGGGGGCUGCUCCUAGUACGAGAGGACCGGAGUGGACGCAUCACUGGUGUUCGGGUUGUCAUGCCAAUGGCACUGCCCGGUAGCUAAAUGCGGAAGAGAUAAGUGCUGAAAGCAUCUAAGCACGAAACUUGCCCCGAGAUGAGUUCUCCCUGAGACUUAGAGUCUCCUGAAGGAACGUUGAAGACGACGACGUUGAUAGGCCGGGUGUGUAAGCGCAGCGA